GACGAACGCUGGCGGCGUGCCUAAUACAUGCAAGUCGAGCGCUGAAGGCCGGUACUUGUACCAACCGGAUGAGCAGCGAACGGGUGAGUAACGCGUGUGGAAUCUGCCUGUGAGCGGGGGACAACAUGUGGAAACGAAUGCUAAUACCGCAUAAAAACUUGAAACACAAGGUUUAAGGUUGAAAGAUGCAAUUGCAUCAUGCAAAGAUGAUCCCGCGUCGUAUUGGCUAGGUGGUGAGGUAAAGGCUCACGAAGGCGAUGUUACAUAGCCGACCUGAGAGGGUGAGCGGCCACCCUGGGAGUGAGACACGCCACAAAGUGCUACGGGUGGCAGCCGUAGGGCAUCGUCAGGAAUGGGCGGGAGUCUGAGCGAGCAACGCGGAGGGAGUGUAGAGGGUUGUCGGGUCGUGGAACUCUGUUGGUGGAGAAGAACGUUGGUGAGAGUGGAAAGAACAGCAAGUGACGGUAACUACCCAGAAAGCACCGGCUAACUACGUG
RNAcentral lists this ribosomal RNA (497 nucleotides) under uncultured bacterium. Its description in RNAcentral is "partial 16S ribosomal RNA". It matches the Rfam family "Bacterial small subunit ribosomal RNA", at positions 28 to 507 of the family's 1533-position model. The record is from RNAcentral.